AAAAAUUGUAGUGUGAUCAUAGAUAGUGGGAGCUGUUGCAAUAUGGCAAGUGAACUUAUGGUGGAGAAAUUGGGGCUGCCCACACUUAAGCACCCCCAAGCCAUAUGGGUUGCAAUGGCUAAACAAUUGUGCAAAGGUGAAAGUCACUAAGCAAGUGGUGGUACCAUUCUCCAUAGGGAAGUACAAAGAUGAGGUAUAUUGUGAUAUUAUCCCUAUGCAAGCCACUCACUUGUUGCUUGGGAGGCCAUGGCUGUUUGAUGUGGAUGCUACAUAUGAAGGCCGAAGCAACACCAUCUCAUUUAUCAAGGAUGGCAGAAAGGUCAAGCUACUCCCAUUGACCCCAUCUCAAGUCCAUCAAGACCAAAUCAACAUCCAAAAGUCCAUUAGUGGAGCAAAGGAGAGUGCGAGUGAAAAUAAAGGAGGGGCCGAACCUAGUGGAGAGAAAAGGAGAGGAGAGAAUGAAGGGAAAAAUGAG
This 475-nucleotide unclassified non-coding RNA is filed under the name Hevea brasiliensis (rubber tree). The record is from RNAcentral. Lineage: Eukaryota; Viridiplantae; Streptophyta; Magnoliopsida; Malpighiales; Euphorbiaceae.